AGCGGAGUUUUGAAAAGCUUGCUUUUCAAAACUUAGCGGCGGACGGGUGAGUAACACGUGGGCAACCUGCCCUUGAGACGGGGAUAACUCCGGGAAACCGGAGCUAAUACCGGAUAACACAUAUCUUCGCAUGAGGAUAUGUUAGAAGGUGGCUUUUAGCUACCACUCAAGGAUGGGCCCGCGGCGCAUUAGCUAGUUGGUGAGGUAACGGCUCACCAAGGCGACGAUGCGUAGCCGACCUGAGAGGGUGAUCGGCCACACUGGGACUGAGACACGGCCCAGACUCCUACGGGAGGCAGCAGUAGGGAAUCUUCCGCAAUGGACGAAAGUCUGACGGAGCAACGCCGCGUGAGUGAUGAAGGUUUUCGGAUCGUAAAGCUCUGUUGUUAGGGAAGAACAAGUACCUGUUAAAUAAGCAGGUACCUUGACGGUACCUAACCAGAAAGCCACGGCUAACUACGUGCCAGCAGCCGCGGUAAUACGUAGGUGGCAAGCGUUGUCCGGAAUUAUUGGGCGUAAAGCGCGCGCAGGCGGUUCCUUAAGUCUGAUGUGAAAGCCCACGGCUCAACCGUGGAGGGUCAUUGGAAACUGGGGAACUUGAGUGCAGAAGAGGAGAGCGGAAUUCCACGUGUAGCGGUGAAAUGCGUAGAGAUGUGGAGGAACACCAGUGGCGAAGGCGGCUCUCUGGUCUGUAACUGACGCUGAGGCGCGAAAGCGUGGGGAGCGAACA
This 730-nucleotide ribosomal RNA is filed under the name Priestia endophytica. RNAcentral's name for it is "bacterial SSU rRNA". It matches the Rfam family "Bacterial small subunit ribosomal RNA", at positions 65 to 774 of the family's 1533-position model. The record is from RNAcentral. Lineage: Bacteria; Bacillati; Bacillota; Bacilli; Caryophanales; Bacillaceae.